RNAcentral lists this ribosomal RNA (254 nucleotides) under uncultured bacterium. RNAcentral describes it as "partial 16S ribosomal RNA". It matches the Rfam family "Bacterial small subunit ribosomal RNA", at positions 524 to 776 of the family's 1533-position model. The record is from RNAcentral.
UACGAAGGGGGGCUAGCGUUGUUCGGAAUUACUGGGCGUAAAGCGCACGUAGGCGGAUUUGUAAGUCAGGGGUGAAAGCCCGGGGCUCAACUCCGGAAUUGCCUUUAAGACUGCAUCGCUAGAAUUGUGGAGAGGUAAGUGGAAUUCCGAGUGUAGAGGUGAAAUUCGUAGAUAUUCGGAAGAACACCAGUGGCGAAGGCGACUUACUGGACACAUAUUGACGCUGAGGUGCGAAAGCGUGGGGAGCGAACAGG